UGAGGAAUAUUGGUCAAUGGGCGGGAGCCUGAACCAGCCAAGUCGCGUGAGGGAAGACGGUCCUAUGGAUUGUAAAACCUCUUUAGGCGGGGAGCAAUGCCGGGCACGCGUGCCCGGAGGGAGAGUACCCGCAGAAUAAGCAUCGGCUAACUCCGUGCC
RNAcentral lists this ribosomal RNA (159 nucleotides) under uncultured bacterium. RNAcentral describes it as "partial 16S ribosomal RNA". It matches the Rfam family "Bacterial small subunit ribosomal RNA", at positions 355 to 509 of the family's 1533-position model. The record is from RNAcentral.